UGAACGCUGGCGGCGUGCCUAACACAUGCAAGUCGAACGAAGCACUUGGAAGCUUGCUUUAAAGUGACUGAGUGGCGGACGGGUGAGUAACGCGUGGAUAACCUGCCUCACACAGGGGGAUAACAGUUAGAAAUGACUGCUGAUACCGCAUAUGCCUACAGUACCGCAUGGUACAGGAGGGAAAGAUUUAUCGGUGUGAGAUGGAUCCGCGUCUGAUUAGCUAGUUGGCGGGGUAACGGCCCACCAAGGCGACGGUCAGUAGCCGACCUGAGAGGGUGACCGGCCACAUUGGGACUGAGACACGGCCCAGACUCCUACGGGAGGCAGCAGUGGGGAAUAUUGCACAAUGGGCGCAAGCCUGAUGCAAGCGACGCCGCGUGAGUGAAGAAGUAUUUCGGUAUGUAAAGCUCUAUCAGCAGGGAAGAUAAUGACGGUACCUGACUAAGAAGCUCCGGCUAAAUACGUGCCAGCCGCGGC
RNAcentral lists this ribosomal RNA (477 nucleotides) under uncultured bacterium. RNAcentral describes it as "bacterial SSU rRNA". It matches the Rfam family "Bacterial small subunit ribosomal RNA", at positions 30 to 518 of the family's 1533-position model. The record is from RNAcentral.